Molecule: ribosomal RNA, 445 nt
Filed under: uncultured bacterium
Lineage: Bacteria
Description: partial 16S ribosomal RNA
Rfam family: Bacterial small subunit ribosomal RNA
Source: RNAcentral
GUGAGGAAUAUUGGACAAUGGGCGCAAGCCUGAUCCAGCCAUGCCGCGUGCAGGAAGACGCAUCUAUGGUGUGUAAACUGCUUUUGUACGGGAAGAAACACUCCCUCGUGAGGGAGCUUGACGGUACCGUAAGAAUAAGGAUCGGCUAACUCCGUGCCAGCAGCCGCGGUAAUACGGAGGAUCCAAGCGUUAUCCGGAAUCAUUGGGUUUAAAGGGUCCGUAGGUGGUUUAAUAAGUCAGUGGUGAAAGCCCAUCGCUCAACGAUGGAACGGCCAUUGAUACUGUUAGACUUGAAUUACAAGGAAGUAACUAGAAUAUGUAGUGUAGCGGUGAAAUGCUUAGAUAUUACAUGGAAUACCAAUUGCGAAGGCAGGUUACUAACAAAUGAUUGACGCUGAUGGACGAAAGCGUGGGGAGCGAACAGGAUUAGAAACCCGGGUAGUCC